GCGAGUAUGUCGAAAUUGGUAGCCGAGUGAAUCUUAGGUUUUCAUUAUUUUAAGAGUUCAAGUCUCUUUACUCGUA
Molecule: non-coding RNA, 76 nt
Organism: Trametes pubescens
Lineage: Eukaryota; Fungi; Basidiomycota; Agaricomycetes; Polyporales; Polyporaceae
Source: Rfam